CGUAUGGUGCUUGGCAGCAAUAAUGACUGAUCAAGUGGCGAUACGGCCUUAACAGAGGU
Molecule: non-coding RNA, 59 nt
Organism: Colwellia sp. PAMC 21821
Lineage: Bacteria; Pseudomonadati; Pseudomonadota; Gammaproteobacteria; Alteromonadales; Colwelliaceae
Source: Rfam